UUAUCUCUGUAGAGUCUGCAUAUCAAUAAGCGGAGGAAAAGAAACUAACUAGGAUUCCCUCAGUAACGGCGAGUGAAGCGGGAAGAGCUCAAAUUUGAAAUCUUCAAGGUUCUACCUUGACGAAUUGUAGUUUAAAGAAGUGUUUUCUGUUGGAGUUUUGGUAAAAGUUCUUUGGAAUAGGACAUCAUAGAGGGUGAGAAUCCCGUAUUUGACCAUUAUUUCCAGCUUUGUGAUACACUUUCAAAGAGUCGGAUUGUUUGGGAAUGCAGUCCAAAAUGGGUGGUAAAUUUCAUCUAAAGCUAAAUAUUGGCGAGAGACCGAUAGCGAACAAGUACCGUGAGGGAAAGAUGAAAAGAACUUUGAAAAGAGAGUUAAACAGUACGUGAAAUUGUCAAAAGGGAAGCGUUUGACACCAGUGUUGUUUUCUCGAAAAUCAAUUAAAAAAGACUGGAUUUUGUGUUGUAUUGACUUUAUCAGCUUUCUGCACUCUUUUCUUGUCUUUUUUAAUGCACUUUUCGUUUAACAAGUCAACAUCAAUUUCUUUUGUUGUAAAAGGGUCAUUGGAAGGUGGCUUUCUUUUCGGAGAAAGUGUUUAUAGCCUUUGGCCUCUGCAAUCGGAGAGAUUGAGGUCUGCAGCGUAGAUCCUUCGGGGUUAGAUACAUUUGUGCUAAGUUAUAGCCUUUCAUAGACAACUUGUUGACUAUGAUCAGUCAUGUAGCUUACUCGCUUAUGCUAUUUUACCUACGCUUAGGAUGUUGAGUCAUCACACAUCUCU
This 775-nucleotide ribosomal RNA is filed under the name uncultured Neocallimastigales. RNAcentral's name for it is "partial large subunit ribosomal RNA". It matches the Rfam family "Eukaryotic large subunit ribosomal RNA", at positions 24 to 614 of the family's 3401-position model. Lineage: Eukaryota; Fungi; Neocallimastigomycota; Neocallimastigomycetes; Neocallimastigales. The record is from RNAcentral.